UACCAGAGAGUCCUUUAUUGAAUAAAUAAC
RNAcentral lists this non-coding RNA (30 nucleotides) under Rattus norvegicus (Norway rat). The record is from RNAcentral. Lineage: Eukaryota; Metazoa; Chordata; Mammalia; Rodentia; Muridae.